UACGGGGGGGGCAAGCGUUGUUCGGAAUCACUGGGCGUAAAGGGCCAGUAGGCGGCCAACUAAGUCGGAUGUGAAAUCCCCAGGCUUAACCUGGGAACUGCAUCCGAUACUGGAUGGCUUGAAUUCGGGAGAGGGAUGCAGAAUUCCAGGUGUAGCGGUGAAAUGCGUAGAUAUCUGGAGGAAUACCGGUGGCGAAGGCGGCAUCCUGGACCGACAUUGACGCUGAACGGCGAAAGCUAGGGGAGCAAACGGG
This 253-nucleotide ribosomal RNA is filed under the name uncultured bacterium. RNAcentral's name for it is "partial 16S ribosomal RNA". It matches the Rfam family "Bacterial small subunit ribosomal RNA", at positions 524 to 776 of the family's 1533-position model. The record is from RNAcentral.